GCAAGUCGGACGGUAGCGAGCCUUCGGGAUCUUUAGAGUGGCGAACGGGUGAGUAACACGUAAAUGAUCUGCCUUGAAGUUGGUGAUAGCCUAUAGAAAUAUGGGGUAAUACCGAAUAAUUUUUUACCAUUUUGAUGGUUUAAGGAAAGGGGCUUCGGCCUCGCUUUAAGAUGAGUCUGCGGCUUAUUAGCUAGUUGGUAGGGUAAAGGCCUACCAAGGCUACGAUAAGUAGCCGGCCUGAGAGGGUGACC
This 251-nucleotide ribosomal RNA is filed under the name uncultured bacterium. Its description in RNAcentral is "partial 16S ribosomal RNA". It matches the Rfam family "Bacterial small subunit ribosomal RNA", at positions 57 to 305 of the family's 1533-position model. The record is from RNAcentral.